UCGGCUCCGGUUUUUUGUUUUUCGACAGGCGGUGGGCCGCCUCCGGGCUCCAAAAACUGGGACUCGCACCGGCCCCAACUCGUUGCUGGGCCAGAGGUGGCCCGAGGUGAGAGCCCAGUACGUCAGGGGCUGGGGUUACAGUCCGACCGUCAACAGCGGAAACACAGAAGCGCCGUUUUUAAACAGCCGAGCGAGCAGCAGUAAUGUUCAAUGUUUGUGUUUUAAAAACCGGUAAAUAUAGAAGCAAAAUCCAAGCAGCAACGGUCUGAGGAGGAGACCCAAAGCUUCCUGGAACUGUGGUCUUCAUAUGAAAUUCAGUGGAAGUUAGAGGGAGCCUCUUGGACCACACCAGUGUUCGAAACAAUCCAGUGGGAGACGGCUACAGCUGUACGAACGGAGCCUGACUAACUCCUCAACAACUAAAAAGUUCAGAAAUGACGACAAGAACCAGAAAAGGCAGCCGGGAUGCAGCAGUUUUUGGCCAAAAAGAGCCCCAGUUUUUUCCGGCUGCAUUCCGUGAUUCCAACCGGGUCCCUGAACGCAACAGCUGAGCAUUCCAUGAUUCCAACCGGGUCCCUGAACGCAACAGCUGAGCAUUCCAUGAUUCCAACCGGGUCUCUGAACGCAACAGCUGAGCAUUCCAUGAUUCCAACCGGGUCCCUGAAUGCAACAGCUGAGCAUUCCGUGAUUCCAACCGGGUCCCUGAACGCAACAGCUGAGCAUUCCAUGAUUCCAACCGGGUCCCUGAACGCAACAGCUGAGCAGGAGUUGAUGCAGGCCGCAGUACCGAUCCUGAUAGUUGUCGGCCUAGGAUGAUGAGGUCCAGUUAUCAGGAUCACUACUCUGCAGCUUACUGGUUCCGUCCUGCAGCUCCUUCAUGCUGUCCUCCUCGCUACAGACCAAAUCAAGAUAAAGGAACCAGGAUGCUACUGUGGAUCUGCUGCAGUAUCUGGAGACGUCAGAGGAACGGUUCUUGGAACAGAUCUGAAGACACUGAGACCUGACCACUGCCCUGCUCCAGAACAUCCAGAGGACGGAUGAAAAUUCAAACCCCUUGGCUGGACUGAUGGGACGCAUGGUGUCGGUGCUGGAGCGACUGUCACAGAAAUAAACUGCAUUGUCCACUAUUCCUACCUUUUUUAGAAAAAGUAAUCAUAUUUUUUAUAAAUUCUUUUCCUCCUUAGCUAUUUAAGUACACUGGUAUUUUACUCUUGCACUUUGGGUGAAUACAAAUAUAUUUGUGAUGAAAGAUG
Molecule: long non-coding RNA, 1253 nt
Organism: Acanthochromis polyacanthus (spiny chromis)
Lineage: Eukaryota; Metazoa; Chordata; Actinopteri; Pomacentridae
Exons: 3
Source: RefSeq, a predicted model, not a curated record